Molecule: ribosomal RNA, 253 nt
Filed under: uncultured bacterium
Lineage: Bacteria
Description: partial 16S ribosomal RNA
Rfam family: Bacterial small subunit ribosomal RNA
Source: RNAcentral
GACGAACCACACGAACGUUAUUCGGAAUUACUGGGCUUAAAGGGCGUGUAGGCGGCGGCGUAAGUGUCGAGUGAAAUCCCAUCGCUCAACGAUGGAACGGCUCGGCAAACUGCGUCGCUUGAGGUCGGUAGAGGUGCCUGGAACUCUAGGUGGAGCGGUGAAAUGCGUAGAUAUCUAGAGGAACGCCAGAGGCGAAAGCGGGGCACUGGGCCGAAUCUGACGCUGAUACGCGAAAGCGUGGGGAGCAAACAGG